UAGUACCUAGUUAUUACAUAGUUAUUGUAAUUACUAUAAUAAGUACAUAGUAUUUACAUGAGGAACAGGACUGUAAAAUAAAGUGCUACCGGUAUUACUUUACAAUAAGACCUCAUUAGUUAACCUUAGUUACUGCAUUAACAUUCACAAUAAACAAUAGCUACAUUUGCUACAGAAGUUAUUAAUCUUUGUUAAAAAGUACAAGUCUUAGUUCAUGUUAGCUCAUUAAAUAACACAGUUGCAACUUUAGAUUUUAACACUGUGUUGUUAAAUAUUGGAAUACCUAAGAUCGAUGAAUGUUCAGAAGAAAUUUUCAUUGGCAGUUUGUUAACUAAUGAAGCCCUAAUGUAAAGUGUAAACAAACAACAAAGAAUCAAAACACUUUCAAACAAUAUCUAGGGCAUGUUGCAGUCCAGAUUAAAAUGUAAAAAAAAAAAGUUUUUUAAAUGAAUAGCCUAUUAAGUCUAAAUAUUUAAGUAUUUGGUGCUGUGAUGAGCACCACAGCGAAUACACAAAUAUAAAUAGUUAUUGAAAUCUACUUAAAUACGUUUUUUGAAAAUAGUGCAGCUGCUUUAUUUUGGGGGUUUCCAGGGUAAGGGCUGCAUUUUCUGCAGUUUAGCGCCCUCUGCUGUCAGAAUGAAUGUGCUUUCAUUCAGCGCAUCUCUCGAGUGUUCCUCAUGUGCUUCUCAUGUGUGCUUGUUUACAUCAGAGCACACACAUACAGUGGUGUUGUGCAUUUUGACCAGUUGAUGGGAAAAGUAUUCUUAAAAUGCAUCCCAAAUUCUGAAUAAUUUGUAAUAUAAUUAUUCACAGUAUUUAGAAGUGCCCAUGAUAACAAUAUUGUGCAUAUUCAUUACCGUGAUUUAUCGCAUUACCGAAUACUGGCACAUGUCUAGUCAUGAGACAGUGAGUGUCAUCCGAACAAAUUUUUAAAGAUAUUUUUUUAAGAUUGACCCAGAAUAAUAGUAAAUAAUCUUUUAUAGUUAUGUAUAUACAAAAUUGUUUCUGCUACCAAGAUAUGAUGGUUUAAGUGGUGGAGUUUGAAUCCAGUGGUGCCUUGUUCAUUUGUUUUUCUUUAAUCAUCCAAAGGACUUAGUGAACAAUAAAUAGAAACAGGAUAAAAACUACUUUAAAACAAUUAAAAAAUAUUUGUAAAAAAAAUUCUAGCUAUAAUAUAAUUGUUUCAUUGACUAAAAAAAUAAAGGAGGGGCCGUUUCUGUCCAUGAAUGUUCUUUCUCCAUCUUUUGCCUAAACUGACUCUAAAAAGAAGAUUAUGGGAAAAGCAGAUCUCAUUAAUAUUCAUUAACUCAUUAGCAUACCUCCUUAGUUAAAAUAUUAUUUAAAAUACCAGUAAUUCUAUUUUCACUAGUUGCAUGGGCAAUUCCUGAUAUCAAUUUCAAUGCAACUGUAAUGUUCCCCGGUCCAGAAACGUAGUAAGGACAUCAAUAAAACAGACCAUGUGACAUCAGUGGCUCAACUUCAGUUUUAUGAAGUGCAAUCUAUUCUGCUUACCCGACUCAUGCAGACUUAUGUCCUGAUAUUUGGCUGUAGUCCUUCCAUUAUCCACUCUUCUGCAACCGGUCUAUUUAUGGAGACCACCAUGGUCUAAUCUAUACAGAUCUAGUUGUCUCUUCUCCUCCAAACUCCUCUUUCAGAUUUUGAGCAGAUCUCCUUCAUUCUGCCGCCAGCUCACCAGAACCUCUGGGUGGACCAGCUGUGGAUAUUACAGGCCAAACUUUGGGUGAGGAUCUUUCUCCCACUGUUCACCACCAAACCUCUUCCUAUAUGUAAACAGUUGUUUAGCACACUGUUGUCUAUAUUUGAAUGGUUAAUUUUUAGGCUGCAACCAAUUAUCUUAAUCAAAUAAUGUUUUAGAUUAAUUUGAUAAAAUGCCACAUUUUAUUUU
Carassius carassius (crucian carp) is the source of this 1906-nucleotide long non-coding RNA. RefSeq lists it as uncharacterized. NCBI's taxonomy places the organism in Eukaryota, Metazoa, Chordata, Actinopteri, Cypriniformes, Cyprinidae. The record is from RefSeq and is a predicted model, not a curated record. The transcript is spliced from 3 exons.